GAACGCUGGCGGCGUGGAUGAGGCAUGCAAGUCGAACGGAACUUUCGCGGUAGCAAUAUCUAGGAAGUUUAGUGGCGGAAGGGUGAGUAAUGCGUGGGUAAUCUACCUCGAAGAUUGGAAUAACCUGGGGAAACUCGGGAUAAUUCCGAAUGUGGUCGCUCCGCGCAUGCGGGGCUGUCUAAAGCUGGGGACCGCAAGGCCUAGCGCUUCGAGAUGAGCUCACGUCCUAUCAGCUUGUUGGUGAGGUAAUGGCUCACCAAGGCUAAGACGGGUAGCUGGCGUGAGAGCGCGGUCAGCCACCAUGGAAACUGAGACACGGUCCAUACUCCUACGGGAGGCAGCAAUUAGAAUCUUGCGCAAUGGGGGCAACCCUGACGCAGCGACACAGCGUGGAGGAAGAAGGUCUUCGGAUUGUAAACUCCUUUUAUAUGGGACGAAUAGAUGACGGUACCCAUAUGAAUAAGCACCUGCUAACUGCGUGCCAGAAGCAUCGGUAAUGCGUAGGGUGCAAACGUUAUCCGGAUUUAUUGGGCGUAUAGAGAUGCGUAGGCGUUUUUGUAAGUCCUUAGUUAAAGCACCACGGCUCAACCGUGGGAAAGCUUCGGAUACUGCAAAAAUUGAGACAGGAAGGGGCGAACAGAAUUCCCAGUGGAGCGGUGAAAUGCGUUGAUAUUGGGAGGAAUGAUCAGUGGCGAAGGCGGUUCGCUGGUACCUUGUACUGACGCUGAGGCUCGAAAGCGUGGGUAGCGACGACGGAUUAGACAUACACGCGUGUAGCCCACGCUGUAAACUAUGAAUGCUAGGUGUUCAGGUACUAACUGUUAUUUACCCCUCGGGGAAAAAGUGGAAGUAUUGAGUGCCGCAGUUAACACGUUAAGCAUUCCGCCUGGGAAGUACUGCCGCAAGGNUAAAACUCAAAUGAAUUGGCGGGGACCCGCACAAGCGGAGGAGCGCGUGGUUUAAUUCGACGGCAAUCGAAGAACCUUACCAGGGUUUGAAAUGUAUCUGCAUGCCCCCAGAAACGGGGGAGUCCUUAGAGGGUGAUACACAGGUGCUGCAUGGCCGCCGUCAGCUCGUGUCGUGAGAUGUAGGGUUAAGUCCCGAAACGAGCGCAACCCCUAUCCUAUGUUACAAGUGUCUUAGGAAACCGCCUCGGUAAAACGAGGAGGAAGGUGGGGAUGACGUCUGGUCCGCAUAGCCCUUAUGUCCUGGGCUACACACGCGCUACAAUGGCCGAUACAAUGGGGAGCCAAAUCGUAAGAUGGAGCAAAUCCUCAAAGUCGGUCUCAGUUCGAAUUGAGGUCUGAAACUCGACCUCAUGAAGGUGGAUUCGCUAGUAAUCGUAGAUCAGCCAUGCUACGGUGAAUACGUUCUCGGGUCUUGCACACACCGCCCAUCAAACCAUGGAAGUAGGUGAUACCCGAAG
RNAcentral lists this ribosomal RNA (1426 nucleotides) under uncultured bacterium. RNAcentral's name for it is "16S ribosomal RNA". It matches the Rfam family "Bacterial small subunit ribosomal RNA". The record is from RNAcentral.